GCUCAGAACGAACGCUGGCGGCAGGCCUAACACAUGCAAGUCGAGCGCGCCUUUCGGGGUGAGCGGCGGACGGGUUAGUAACGCGUGGGAAUAUACCCUUUGGUACGGAAUAGCCUCUGGAAACGGAGAGUAAUACCGUAUGAGCCCUUCGGGGGAAAGAUUUAUCGCCAAGGGAUUAGCCCGCGUUAGAUUAGGUAGUUGGUGGGGUAAUGGCCUACCAAGCCUACGAUCUAUAGCUGGUUUUAGAGGAUGAUCAGCAACACUGGGACUGAGACACGGCCCAGACUCCUACGGGAGGCAGCAGUGGGGAAUCUUGGACAAUGGGGGCAACCCUGAUCCAGCCAUGCCGCGUGAGUGAUGAAGGCCUUAGGGUCGUAAAGCUCUUUCGCCUGUGAAGAU
RNAcentral lists this ribosomal RNA (399 nucleotides) under Ruegeria sp. PetCh-04. Its description in RNAcentral is "bacterial SSU rRNA". It matches the Rfam family "Bacterial small subunit ribosomal RNA", at positions 22 to 449 of the family's 1533-position model. The record is from RNAcentral. Lineage: Bacteria; Pseudomonadati; Pseudomonadota; Alphaproteobacteria; Rhodobacterales; Roseobacteraceae.